This 90-nucleotide transfer RNA is filed under the name Virgisporangium ochraceum. RNAcentral describes it as "tRNA-Ser". The record is from RNAcentral. Lineage: Bacteria; Bacillati; Actinomycetota; Actinomycetes; Micromonosporales; Micromonosporaceae.
UGGCUCACUGGGCCGGACGCCGGCCGCUGUCCCCGAGCGGUGGCCGGCGUCGCAGCGCAGUCGCCGCCGCGCGGUGCGGUGGUGGCCCGG